This 431-nucleotide long non-coding RNA is filed under the name Prunus persica (peach). Its description in RNAcentral is "long non-coding RNA (PPER_LNC004327)". Lineage: Eukaryota; Viridiplantae; Streptophyta; Magnoliopsida; Rosales; Rosaceae. The record is from RNAcentral.
AAAUACAAUUGCUAUGACAAAUACAAUAGAAAAAGAGAAAAAGAAAAAAAGAAAAAACUGUUAUAAAACUAGAAUAAUCAGAGGAUGAGAAGUACCACUGUAAUAUUGGGAGUGGAAUUAUAUUUCUCUUUGUGGUGUUUACACUGACAGAAUUUCUCCUCAGAUAGACUCCACUCUUUCUCUUCUCUCUGACUCUCACUCUUUCUCUUCUUCUGACUCUCACUCUUUCUCUUCUUCUCUUCCGUAUGUUUACAAGCAAAUAUAAUGCCUAUUUAUAGGCAAAGCAAAUGACUUUUAAGGGAGACAUAAUGAUUUCUCCCCAACAUCAUUAUCCCAUCUUUUGACUAAUACCUCUAGCUAUAUCUCCAUCUUUUGACUAAUGCCCUAUAGCUAUCUAUGUGGGCUUCACUUCUUUAUAACACUCCCCCUUG